Rhodamnia argentea is the source of this 1642-nucleotide long non-coding RNA. RefSeq lists it as uncharacterized. The record is from RefSeq and is a predicted model, not a curated record. Lineage: Eukaryota; Viridiplantae; Streptophyta; Magnoliopsida; Myrtales; Myrtaceae. The transcript is spliced from 3 exons.
AAUCACCAAAAUCUUUCCUCCUUAUAACCCUCUCCAUCUCCAACUCUUUCUUUCCACUUCCAACAUCUCUCUCUCUCUCUCUCUCUGCGUUGCAGAGUGGAGAGGGAAGAAACGCUUCAGAAGAUGAGACGCAAGCCCUCGCAUCUUCAAGGCCAACUUGAAGAGAGCACCAUAGAUGGAAUCUUUGCUGGAUUUCAAGCAAAAGCAACAACAUGGAGCUCUUUAGCAAUGGAUGCUUGUUCAUGCUAAUUUGGCGCUAUCCUAUCUGAGCUUUUUCUCUCCUGCUUCUUCUCUUUUUUCAUUUUUCCGUUUCUUUAAUUCUCGUCCUCCCCGUCCCACCUCGUCCCACCCUUCUUGACCUUGUAAGACCUUUUCUUGACCUUGUAAGACCCCCCUCCGUCCCCGCCCCCGCUCUUCUCCUUCUAGCCCCGGGUUCUGGAUCGCGAGCGAGCGAUGUAGAGUUUCGUCGCCUGCCUUUCCCGUUCCCACCCAACUCAUCUUCUCCUUCCUCGUCUAUCCCUCCUGAGCUGCUCCGUUCCGAAACAAACGAAAAGAAGGCCGAACCCUCCCACAGCUCUUUCCUCCCGAAACAAACUUAUCUGCCCCGACAUGGUGAACGUAGUUUCGACCCCGACUCUCUGUUAGCCUCUAAAAUAUGUGAAGAGAUUUAGGGAAGGAUAAAAAAAUGUGAAAUAUUACUAGGGUCUCUUUUGGUUUCUCUUUAUUUGUUGAUGUUAUUGUUGAAGGUUUAUUAUGGCAUGUAUGCCCUUUUCGUUGUUGAGUGAAGGGCAAUCGAUUGCAAUUGUUUCUCUCUCUCUCUCUCUCUCUCUCUCUCUCUCGUAUUUGUAUAGGAGGCAGAAACAUGCGGCUGCCAGGGCAUCAGUUUCGUUGUUUUAUAUGUUGUUGGGAGAGCCUAAAAUUCAAAAAAAGAAAAGAAAAGAAGGAAACGAUUCAGAAAAAACAAAAAAAAAAAGGAAGGAGUGCGUGCAGAACAGAAUAAAUGUUCUCUCAGAUCUCUCUGUGGUGAGAGUUUCUCUUCCUCGUGACCAUUCUUAUGUUAUGUACUGUAAUAUCGCAACUCUCUCUCUCUCUCUCUCUCUCUCUCUCUCUCUCUAGACCUGCUGCAAUGUCAUUAAUGAGGAGUGGAAGAAAACAAACGGGAUUUGUUUCUUGUUUUAUACAAGACAAGUGGGUCGGAGGCGAAAGAGAUCUGGGACUUCCUUUUGCAGUUGAAGGUGUUCCAGGUCCACGUUUCGAAAUUUUCUUCCCUUUUGUAGCUUCAAAGAAGUAUGAUAAUCGACCUCUUGCAAAGUCUACAGCAAGCUCGGGUCGAAUUGGAGCCGGUCCCUGCUGCUUCUUCUUUUCCUUCACUUCCAUCUUUUCGGGUAAUCUGUUUGGUGUCCGCGAUGUUCUGAGCACCUGUUCGUUCAUCGUUUGAUGGGGUUAGGCCGUGUAAGUAGCAUUUCUUUCGCACCUCGUAUGCGCAAGUAUGGUUGUUCGAACUCAGGCAUCAUGCGAAAUAGUUGUACAUGCUUACCAAUUAUCACUGAGCAGCCGAUUGUGCGUUAAGCUGUCUUGAGUCGCCUAAUUCUUUACACUUCUGGAUCAAUCGUGAUUAAUCUAAGGGUCGUGUUAACAAGUU